GAUUAUGUUGAUGGAUUUAUCCUCUUGUCACUAUGAUCUGAAAUCAUUGAAGGGUUGUGAGUAAGCAUACAUAUUCUCAGGACGUCUUGAAUGGCCAAAGCCACUGGCUAACAUUAGUGCAGACCUACACCUAGGAGGGAAUCUUGGUAAGCCUUUUCAUGGGGCAUUAAACAUGGCUAUAGGUUGAUAUGAAGUACUAGAGUAAUCAAUGGACUAAACCAUUGAUGUUUGUUUAAAUAUUGUUGAUUGAGUGAGUGUUUCUAAUAUGUUGAAAAUGUUGUUGAAAUGAUGUAACUCAUAUUUGGACUUUUACAUAUAUUAUAUACUAGAUUUGGUUGUGUUUCUGUUACUGUUUAUAAUGUGCAUUGCUGAUGCUUGAUUUGUUGAGAAGAGAUGUGCACUAUUUAUUGAGAGGUGGUAUGCUUAUACCGUUCAUCUCAAUUCUUUUUCAGCUUCCGACUUAUAGGAGGAAAGCUACAUCAGUGGAGGAUUCUUAGGAAUUUGGAUUUUGGGUUAAUGUUGGUUAUGCAUAUGAGACUGCGUCCUUUGGAUAGGAGGACGAUCGUGCCAUUUUCCCUAUGUUUGUAGAGCUAGGGUGUGAUGGUUUUAUCAAUUUGUCCUUUUAAGCUUUGUUCAAAAACAUCAAGCCAUGCAAGUAGUCAUUGUUCAAAAUAUGAUACCAUGUACAGCGCAAGUCAAGAGGUUGUGUGAGAGAAUAAUAUUGCUUUCUCUUAGUGCUAUUUGCUUCAUCUUGUUCUUACUUUUGGGAAUAUAAAUGAUAUGGAGCGUAAUUCGAAAUGUC
Molecule: long non-coding RNA, 802 nt
Organism: Eucalyptus grandis
Lineage: Eukaryota; Viridiplantae; Streptophyta; Magnoliopsida; Myrtales; Myrtaceae
Exons: 2
Source: RefSeq, a predicted model, not a curated record